Long non-coding RNA from Haemorhous mexicanus (house finch), 543 nucleotides. RefSeq lists it as uncharacterized. NCBI's taxonomy places the organism in Eukaryota, Metazoa, Chordata, Aves, Passeriformes, Fringillidae. The transcript is spliced from 2 exons. The record is from RefSeq and is a predicted model, not a curated record.
GAGUUAAUACAGUUGGGAAUUUCCUGGGAAAGAGGGUAUUGCACAGCACUGAGCCAACACCACUCCUGAUAACAACUGUGCUUGUGAUUUUAUUAAGGAACAAGAUGAAGUUUGUUCUGUGACAGGAGCCCUUUGCCAUGAAAACUGCUGAUUGCUGUCCCAUCACAUCCCCACUCUCCAUCUCCUUCUCAGCUGCUCCAAACCACUUCAUCAGCCCAGGAGGGAGGCUGGAUGAACCAGCCUGAAACUUUGUGGACUUACCUGAGUCACGCUCUUCAAAUAUUGACUCAGUGCUGUUUUUCUUCUUGGAAAAGCUCUCCUGGGCUGUUCAUGAACUCUCACAUUCCCACCUGGUGUGAGAACAGCCAUCUGAAGAGCCAGCUCUGCAAAUGAUGACACACAUGUCCUCUAGACUCAAAAUGUUAGUUGUGCUUUUGAUGUUUUUUUUAAAGUUGCUUGGGUAGGAAGCAUUUCAUCAUCAUUAUAUAACAGGGAAAUGGCAUUCAACUUUGUCCCAAAUACAGGCAGGAAAUAUUUAUCAAA